UACGUAGGCAGCAAGCGUUGUUCGGAAUUACUGGGCGUAAAGCGUGCGUAGGCGGUUGGCCAAGUUUGGUGUGAAAUCUCCCGGCUCAACUGGGAGGGUGCGCCGAAAACUGGCCGGCUAGAGUGCGGGACAGGGAAGUGGAAUUCCUGGUGUAGCGGUGAAAUGCGUAGAUAUCAGGAGGAACGCCUGUGGUGUAGACGGCUUCCUGGACCGUGACUGACGCUGAGGCACGAAAGCGUGGGGAGCACACAGG
This 253-nucleotide ribosomal RNA is filed under the name uncultured bacterium. Its description in RNAcentral is "partial 16S ribosomal RNA". It matches the Rfam family "Bacterial small subunit ribosomal RNA", at positions 524 to 776 of the family's 1533-position model. The record is from RNAcentral.